Molecule: ribosomal RNA, 526 nt
Filed under: uncultured soil bacterium
Lineage: Bacteria
Description: bacterial SSU rRNA
Rfam family: Bacterial small subunit ribosomal RNA
Source: RNAcentral
AACGAACGCUGGCGGCAGGCCUAACACAUGCAAGUCGAACGUGAAGCCACCUUCGGGUGGUGGAAAGUGGCAGACGGGUGAGUAACGCGUGGGAACGUACCUUUCGGUUCGGGAUAACCCAGGGAAACUUGGGCUAAUACCGGAUACGCCCUCCGGGGGAAAGAUUCAUUGCCGAAAGAUCGGCCCGCGUCGGAUUAGCUAGUUGGUGGGGUAAAAGCCUACCAAGGCGACGAUCCGUAGCUGGUCUGGGAGGAUGACCAGCCACACUGGGACUGAGACACGGCCCAGACUCCUACGGGAGGCAGCAGUGGGGAAUAUUGGACAAUGGGCGCAAGCCUGAUCCAGCCAUGCCGCGUGGGUGAAGAAGGCCCUAGGGUUGUAAACCCCUUUCAGCGGGGAAGAUAAUGACGGUACCCGCAGAAGAAGCCCCGGCUAACUCCGUGCCAGCAGCCGCGGUAAUACGGAGGGGGCUAGCGUUGUUCGGAAUUACUGGGCGUAAAGCGCGCGUAGGCGGACCUGCAAGUCG